Molecule: non-coding RNA, 58 nt
Organism: Salmo salar (Atlantic salmon)
Lineage: Eukaryota; Metazoa; Chordata; Actinopteri; Salmoniformes; Salmonidae
Source: Rfam
UAGCUCAGUUGGUAGAGCAUGGUGUUUGCAACGCCAGUCUUGUGGGUUCGAUUCCCAC